GCCGCCGCCAGCAUCUCCCACCUCGGGAUCCUCCCAUUCCCCACCGCGCCAACCACCAGCCACACCUGGAUCCAAUCCAUCCACUGCAGCCAAUCCAUCGAUCACGUUCCACCCUGCCCGGGGCUCUCCUUGUUCCUCUCGCACCCGAGGAGAGAGCAGACGCAUCGCUCGCGCUCGAAGCCUCAUGCCUCCCCGAUGCCCUUGCCUCGCGCCGGCAAGUGACCUCGCCGGAGUGCCUGCCAGAGUCUCAGUAGCCGCCAUGGACGUCGUCACGCAGACCUGCCUCCGUUCCUGCGACCACGCGCCGGUCAGCAGCAGUAGUUCGAGCAGGCAUGGCCGUCACCGUAGAACUCGAUGCCGAACGCCGCCGUUGAAGUCCUCCGCCAUGGACGCCGUGCCCCAAGGCCGUGCCUCUCCUCCUCCUCACCUUCCCCUCUUUCCGUUUUCCCCUGCCAUGGCCUCUCUCCUCACGAUAUCCCUCUUGUGCUGCACCAGGGAACGCCAUGGCCGCCACACCAUGGAGCCACAUCGACCCGGAUCCGGCUGGAAACAGGACGAGCCCGUGCCUUCCCCGCCUCGGAUCGGGUCGUCCCCGCGCCAAGUCCGUUGCUUCGCCUCCAGCCCUCGUGCACGCGGCUCCACUACUUCGCCUGCGUCCUCGCGUCCUCUGCUUCCCCUGCGUCGCCCCCUGUCUUCUUCCUCGUCCUCAUUCAAGCAGAGAACGAGCUCGCUGCCGCCUCACUCGUUAACUGCUCGCUGACCAUGCUUGGGCCGCAAGCGCGCAAUCCGACCCAGCGCCUCCUCACCUCGCGGCUGGACCGCACCAAGCCAGCCUCCCUGCUGCAAGCCGCUCCACGAGCCCAAGGCCUCGAAGGCCCAUUGUGAGCAGCUCCUCAAUCCGCCCAGAUUCAGCCUGCCUAUGUUUUUUCGUGCCCUGUGAAUUUGUCUAAUUAUCUAGAGACUUCCUGUU
Molecule: long non-coding RNA, 970 nt
Organism: Triticum aestivum (bread wheat)
Lineage: Eukaryota; Viridiplantae; Streptophyta; Magnoliopsida; Poales; Poaceae
Exons: 3
Source: RefSeq, a predicted model, not a curated record